RNAcentral lists this long non-coding RNA (609 nucleotides) under Androctonus crassicauda. The record is from RNAcentral. Lineage: Eukaryota; Metazoa; Arthropoda; Arachnida; Scorpiones; Buthidae.
CCAAAAUUCCAGGGAUAGGAUAAAUAUUCCAAUGCGAAUCCUAGUCUCGCUUCUUUGUAAACAUUUGUCAACCAAUCAUUAUCACUGGUCAAUGGUGAUAGUAGCUGAAUACUCUCAAUUAUCUUUGUAUAUGUGUUGGAUGAGCAGUUGUAAAUUUAAUUUUCGUUUUACAAAUUUAGAAUGAUUCAAUGGUUCAUUAAUGGCAACAUUUAAAAUUGCAUCGUCCUGUUCUAAAGAAGUCUGUCAUGGCCUACCUGACCUUGAUUUCGUUUUCAAAUCGUGCUCUGCUUGCCAUCAACAUAUCCAAGUGGAUGCAGUUUUUAGGGUGGAUAUUCAUUUCCUGUCCUAUUGCUCUCGUUGAAUAUCUUCCAGAUUCCAAUAAUCCUAUAAUUCUUCCCUUUGUUUCAUCAGCUAAUUGUUUAUCGUUUAAUCCUCUUAGCAUUUUAACAGAUUUUAACAAAGCCAUUUAACUAAAUAUGCACAAUUAAAACGAAUGCCAUUCACGCUGCUACGAGAUUUUAACAGACGAUGUUUUCCGGAUGCUGCAUUUCUUGCUAAAGCUGAAUGACAUAGAAUGAAGAGUUUUCAUCUGACAUUGUUAUACUAAUA